GAUGAACGCUAGCUACAGGCUUAACACAUGCAAGUCGAGGGGCAGCAUGAUUGAAGCUUGCUUCAAUCGAUGGCGACCGGCGCACGGGUGAGUAACACGUAUCCAACCUGCCGAUAACUCGGGGAUAGCCUUUCGAAAGAAAGAUUAAUACCCGAUAGUAUAGUAUUUCCGCAUGGUUUCACUAUUAAAGAACUUCGGUUAUCGAUGGGGAUGCGUUCCAUUAGAUAGUUGGCGGGGUAACGGCCCACCAAGUCAACGAUGGAUAGCGGUUCUGAGAGGAAGGUCCACCACAAUGGAACUGAGACACAGUCCAAACUCCGACGGGAGGCAGCAGUGAGGAAUAUUGGGCGAUGGACGAGAGUCUGAACCAGCCAAGUAGCGUGAAGGAUGACUGCCCUAUGGGUUGUAAACUUCUUUUAUACGGGAAUAAAGUGGAGUAUGCAUACUCCUUUGUAUGUACCGUAUGAAUAAGGAUCGGCUAACUCCGUG
RNAcentral lists this ribosomal RNA (489 nucleotides) under uncultured bacterium. RNAcentral's name for it is "partial 16S ribosomal RNA". It matches the Rfam family "Bacterial small subunit ribosomal RNA", at positions 28 to 507 of the family's 1533-position model. The record is from RNAcentral.